UACGUAGGGUGCAAGCGUUGUCCGGAAUUAUUGGGCGUAAAGAGCUCGUAGGCGGUUUGUCGCGUCUGCUGUGAAAAUCCAGGGCUUAACCCUGGACCUGCAGUGGGUACGGGCAGACUGGAGUGCGGUAGGGGAGAUCGGAAUUCCUGGUGUAGCGGUGAAAUGCGCAGAUAUCAGGAGGAACACCGGUGGCGAAGGCGGGUCUCUGGGCCGUAACUGACGCUGAGGAGCGAAAGCGUGGGGAGCGAACAGG
RNAcentral lists this ribosomal RNA (253 nucleotides) under uncultured bacterium. RNAcentral describes it as "partial 16S ribosomal RNA". It matches the Rfam family "Bacterial small subunit ribosomal RNA", at positions 524 to 776 of the family's 1533-position model. The record is from RNAcentral.